AUUGAACGCUGGCGGCAUGCUUUACACAUGCCAGUCGAACGGCAGCGCGGGCUUCGGCCUGGCGGCGAGUGGCGAACGGGUGAGUAAUGCAUCGGAACGUGCCCAGUAGUGGGGGAUAGCCCGGCGAAAGCCGGAUUAAUACCGCAUACGACCUGAGGGUGAAAGCGGGGGGCCGAAAGGCCUCUCGCCAUUGGGGCGGCCGAUGUCGGAUUAGCUAGUUGGUGGGGUAAAGGCUUACCAAGGGGACUAUCCGUAGCUGGUCUGAGGGGACGACCAGCCACACUGGAACUGAGACACGGCCCAGACUCCUACGGGAGGCAGCAGUGGGGAAUUUUGGACAAUGGGGGCAACCCUGAUCCAGCCAUGCCGCGUGCGGGAAGAAGGCCUUCGGGUUGUAAACCGCUUUUGUUCGGGAAGAAAUCCUCUGGGCUAAUACCCCGGGGGGAUGACGGUACCGGAAGAAUAAGCACCGGCUAACUACGUG
Molecule: ribosomal RNA, 484 nt
Filed under: uncultured bacterium
Lineage: Bacteria
Description: partial 16S ribosomal RNA
Rfam family: Bacterial small subunit ribosomal RNA
Source: RNAcentral